Molecule: long non-coding RNA, 1270 nt
Filed under: Lonchura striata (white-rumped munia)
Lineage: Eukaryota; Metazoa; Chordata; Aves; Passeriformes; Estrildidae
Description: domestica (Bengalese finch) lncRNA (ENSLSDG00000013751.1)
Source: RNAcentral
AUGUUUCUGUGUGCUGUGCCACGCUUUGGUGAUGUGCCAUGCGACUUACCGCUUUGUUGUUGCUGCUACAGCUCCAGUGGUCACCUUCUGCAUUCCCGCACCACGCCUCUUCCUCUCUCUCUGCAGGCCCGGGCACGGAGCCCAUCGUCUGGCGGUGGAAGAGGCGAGGGCACGGCCAGGGAGGGGAUCCGGCCGGACACCGGACACGGGCUGCAGCACCGCGCCCGGCCACACCCCGCUCUCAACUUUAAUGACUUAAAGCAGUUUUAAAUGGUUGUGACACAAAUUCAUUGCUGGCAGCCAUGGGAGAAGAAUUUCCCUAGGUUUAUUGCGAUGAAUCUGUAAAACCUGUCCUCUAGUGGUGAGUAUUCUCGGUACAACCUAUCUUUCCUCCAAUGCACAGAGUAAUUGCUUAGCUCUGGAUCAGACUGAAGAAUUCCUUACUUAAAAAAAAUCAGCAUCACUCACGAGAGUGGAACACGCCCAUGCUCAGCCUUACUACCUGGAGGUGGGAUUCAGCAGCAGUCGUGUUGAGUGGGCAGACUGCAAGAACAAACAAACAUUUGCUUUGCAGGAGAGAGAGAAGUCUUAACGCCACUUCCAAAAGUUGGCCAUCCUUCCCACAGAGAAGCAGCUUCUUUCAGAUGUGUUGUUUUGUUUAUGCAGCUACACAUAAAGGGACAGUUCACUGUUAAAAUCAAGAAGGUAGAGCUUGCAAUUCCCACACUCCCACCUCUGAAGAACUCUUGACUUCAACAGACCUAAAAAGUGUUUCCCUUCUCCUCUAGCUGCCAUUUGCAGACACCACUGACAUGUCUGUCCUGUAGUUAACAUCCUGAGCCACCACCCCAGCAGUGGCCUGAGGUAGGUGCUUAAAUAAUUCUGUCUCCAUCUUGUGAGCACACUACUCUCUUUGCUUUACUUACAACACUAGAAACAGCAUGCUCCUCUGCCUUGCUACCUGCAAUAGUCAGCCAGACAGGGGCCAGCAGAGACUGGGACUUGCCCUUUGGUGGGAGCAGUGAGCUGGGUCUGACCUGGAACAGGUCACCUCAUCACAGCUGGAUAGGGCAAUUUGCUAAACUGCUCCAACUGAAAAGUAACUUUCUUAUUUCCCCAGCAAGAUUAGAUUCCAGCAACAAUUCAGCACAAGGCACCUCCUCUAAUGAACUUGUCUUACCUCUCUUUCUACAGACUUUUUCUAACCUCCAGUCCCUAUGCUCCUUCAAGCACAGAAGAUGCCAGGUAUACAGAGGUAAGGGGAGAAUUU